GUGGGGAAUAUUGGACAAUGGGCGAAAGCCUGAUCCAGCCAUGCCGCGUGUGUGAAGAAGGUCUUCGGAUUGUAAAGCACUUUAAGUUGGGAGGAAGGGCAUUAACCUAAUACGUUAGUGUUUUGACGUUACCGACAGAAUAAGCACCGGCUAACUUCGUGCCAGCAGCCGCGGUAAUACGAAGGGUGCAAGCGGUAAUCGGAAUUACUGGGCGUAAAGCUCGCGUAGGUGGUUCGUUAAGUUGGAUGUGAAAGCCCCGGGCUCAACCUGGGAACUGCAUCCAAAACUGGCGAGCUAGAGUACGGUAGAGGGUGGUGGAAUUUCCUGUGUAGCGGUGAAAUGCGUAGAUAUAGGAAGGAACACCAGUGGCGAAGGCGACCACCUGGACUGAUACUGACACUGAGGUGCGAAAGCGUGGGGAGCAAACAGGAUUAGAUACCCUUGUAGUCC
Molecule: ribosomal RNA, 450 nt
Filed under: uncultured bacterium
Lineage: Bacteria
Description: partial 16S ribosomal RNA
Rfam family: Bacterial small subunit ribosomal RNA
Source: RNAcentral